AAGAGACUAAGUGGCUUCUGCAUCACGGUCAUUUUCUCAUGUUAUCCUUUCGUUAUCUGCUCCUUGCUGUGCGUUUCUCUUCGUGUUACACGAGGGGUGAUGCGUCCCAUGGUUGUGUAGUUAGUCGCUGUAGGAAGACGACGACGUCGAAACAGUGGUCAUGUAAUCACGACAUUCCACGUCCGUUUUUGUAUGAGACAACCAAUCCAGGGCAGCAGCUUCACCAAGUGUUCUGUCUGUUGGGCUGAUGGCCCAUAUUCAGCCCAUGUGGGCUUUAUCAGCCCACAGCCUACACCCUCUCUUAACCUAACCCUAAUUAAGAUUAGGGGGUGUGGUGGCUGCGUUUUAGAGGCAGAUUAAAGCUAUAAAAAGGCAGCAACGAGGCAGAUCUUGGAGGCCACGGGAUUCCAAAGAGAAGAAGGAGAUCAAGGCAGAAAAGGAAGAGAAAGAAAGGGAAGAAGACAAGGACAACGCAGAGAGAUUGUUCACAAUCAUCUAGCAGUGUUCUCAUCUCAGGUUAGAUCAUAUCUACAGUAGGCUCUUGCUGUGAUUACUUGGGAGGUUUUAGAUAUUGUGGGCAGUGACGUGAUCCUUGUAUCCCAGUUAUUCUCUUGUGGUUGUUGUUAGGGUUUUGGGCAAGAGAUUGAGAUUUGUAUAUUCAUUAUUCUCAUAGUGGAUUAUCUCUAGUUUGCCCCGUGG
This 699-nucleotide long non-coding RNA is filed under the name Musa acuminata (dwarf banana). RNAcentral's name for it is "long non-coding RNA (MACU_LNC006709)". Lineage: Eukaryota; Viridiplantae; Streptophyta; Magnoliopsida; Zingiberales; Musaceae. The record is from RNAcentral.